RNAcentral lists this transfer RNA (83 nucleotides) under Hypomontagnella monticulosa. Its description in RNAcentral is "tRNA-Arg". It matches the Rfam family "tRNA". Rfam says of the family: Transfer RNA (tRNA) molecules are approximately 80 nucleotides in length. The record is from RNAcentral. Lineage: Eukaryota; Fungi; Ascomycota; Sordariomycetes; Xylariales; Hypoxylaceae.
GGUCCUUUGGCCCAAUGGUAAGGCGUCUGACUACGAUAUCAUGUGUAAUCAGGAGAUUCUGGGUUCGACCCCCAGGAGGACCU